RNAcentral lists this ribosomal RNA (433 nucleotides) under uncultured bacterium. Its description in RNAcentral is "bacterial SSU rRNA". It matches the Rfam family "Bacterial small subunit ribosomal RNA", at positions 29 to 507 of the family's 1533-position model. The record is from RNAcentral.
AACGAACGCUGGCGGCAGGCCUAACACAUGCAAGUCGAACGCCGUAGCAAUACGGAGUGGCAGACGGGUGAGUAACGCGUGGGAACCUACCUUACGGUCGGGAAUAGCUCAGGGAAACUUGGGGUAAUACCGGAUACGCCCUUACGGGGAAAGAUUUAUCGCCGUUAGAUGGGCCCGCGUCGGAUUAGCUAGUUGGUGAGGUAACGGCUCACCAAGGCGACGAUCCGUAGCUGGUCUGAGAGGAUGAUCAGCCACACUGGGACUGAGACACGGCCCAGACUCCUACGGGAGGCAGCAGUGGGGAAUAUUGGACAAUGGGCGCAAGCCUGAUCCAGCCAUGCCGCGUGAGUGACGAAGGCCUUAGGGUUGUAAAGCUCUUUUGGCGGGGAAGAUAAUGACGGUACCCGCAGAAUAAGCUCCGGCUAACUUCGUG